Molecule: ribosomal RNA, 24 nt
Filed under: Selenicereus undatus
Lineage: Eukaryota; Viridiplantae; Streptophyta; Magnoliopsida; Caryophyllales; Cactaceae
Description: Hylocereus undatus partial 18S ribosomal RNA
Source: RNAcentral
GGUGAACUUGUGGAAGGAUCAUUG